Molecule: RNA transcript, 1266 nt
Organism: Talpa occidentalis (Iberian mole)
Lineage: Eukaryota; Metazoa; Chordata; Mammalia; Eulipotyphla; Talpidae
Exons: 6
Source: RefSeq, a predicted model, not a curated record
CUUUCCACCUUUUUUGUUGUUAACCAAGCUGCCAUCCUCCUAGUUCAAGAUUACCUUGGCUCUGGAGAUGUUCCUAACUGGACUCCCUGCUCUCCUAUUCUCCCUAUUUCAGGCCAGCCUGCAUCCUCCAGUCAGAUGUGAACUUGGCAAUACUCUCAUUCGGGCCGGGGGAGCCCAGGAGUCUGUGGGGCCCACUGACCUGGGCUUCGCAGGGUUUAGGCCCGUACAGCUUUGCUCCCUGGACAGGGCUGCCACCUCCAUGUCAUUUCCUCCAUGGAGGAAUAGCAGGUGGCAGCACAGGCACACUCAGCGGACAAGGUUGGCUGUGGGGGAGCCAAGAAAGCUGCUCUCAUAUUCAAACUGCAAAGGGAUCCCUCUUACUGGCUCUGGGUGGAAACUGGAAACUGCACCUCUGGACACUCUUGGACACUCAAUGGAAAGCCAUCUCUGGACACUCAACCCUGAGGAACUGUAAGCCGCUGGCGAGCCCGGGGGCGAAGCGCAGAAGUUUAUUCUCAGCCUGGAGGCGAGAAGCCUGCUGUGGACUGAAUGUUUGUGCGCCCCCACCCCGCGUUCCUGCGGUGGAGCCCCAGCCCGAGUGCGGUGGACGUGGAGGCGAGGACUUCGGACAUGAUGCUGUGAAGGCGGGCCUCGUGAGAAGGCUCUUGCAAGAGACACGAGAGGAUCUUGCCCUCACCACGGAGAACCUGCAAGAGGGACUCUCCCCGGGAGCCAGACAGCCCCACAGGUCUAGCAGACCCACAGGGCCAUCCGUUGCAGCGCCGCAUCGCCUUCCCAGCGAAGCCACACCCAUGGGACACCAUCUCCAACGGGCAGCUUUGGACCUCGAGGUGGAGGGCACGCUUCGAGGACUCUGCAAAGAGGCUGGCAAGUAGAACCUUGUAGGCCUGGACAAUCUCUUCUCACCCAGUCGUGGACAUUUGUCUCACCUAAUUUGACAACUCUUUCUCUCUGACUCAGAUUGUGUCUUUCAAGACAUUCAGCUGAUACUUCACGACAGUAUCUCCCCUGGUUUGUGUCCUUCUGGUUCAUCAUCCAUUAAUACAACAUUUCAUUAGAUUACAAACAGUAAUUAAAAUGCCAAGUUCACUGUCAGGAAUACCUUAGGGAAGACAUGCUGACGGGUGAGCCUACCCCCAGCCGGUGACCGAGAAGAGGCAGGGUCUGGGGAGGAGGCUGCCAGCUCCCCCCACGGGCUCCUGAUGCGUCGGGUGUGGUGCCGAACGUGAGGAGGUGUGAACCUGU